This 70-nucleotide transfer RNA is filed under the name Camelus bactrianus (Bactrian camel). It matches the Rfam family "tRNA". From Rfam's summary of the family: Transfer RNA (tRNA) molecules are approximately 80 nucleotides in length. Their secondary structure includes four short double-helical elements and three loops (D, anti-codon, and T loops). Lineage: Eukaryota; Metazoa; Chordata; Mammalia; Artiodactyla; Camelidae. RNAcentral also lists the same sequence under 1 other name. The record is from Rfam by way of RNAcentral.
GAGGGUACAGCUCAUUGGUAGAGUGUGUGCUUCGCAUGCAUGAUCCUGGGUUCAAUCCCCAGUACUUCCA